GAUGAACGCUGGCGGCGUGCCUAAUACAUGCAAGUCGAGCGAACAGACGAGGAGCUUGCUCCUCUGACGUUAGCGGCGGACGGGUGAGUAACACGUGGAUAACCUACCUAUAAGACUGGGAUAACUUCGGGAAACCGGAGCUAAUACCGGAUAAUAUAUUGAACCGCAUGGUUCAAUAGUGAAAGACGGUGUUGCUGUCACUUAUAGAUGGAUCCGCGCCGCAUUAGCUAGUUGGUAAGGUAACGGCUUACCAAGGCAACGAUGCGUAGCCGACCUGAGAGGGGGGUCGGCCACACUGGAACUGAACCACGGUCCAGACUCCUACGGGAGGCAGCAGUAGGGAAUCUUCCGCAAUGGGCGAGAGCCUGACGGAGCAACGCCGCGUGAGUGAUGAAGGUCUUCGGAUCGUAAAACUCUGUUAUUAGGGAAGAACAAAUGUGUAAGUAACUAUGCACGUCUUGACGGUACCUAAUCAGAAAGCCACGGCUAACUACGUG
Molecule: ribosomal RNA, 497 nt
Filed under: uncultured bacterium
Lineage: Bacteria
Description: partial 16S ribosomal RNA
Rfam family: Bacterial small subunit ribosomal RNA
Source: RNAcentral